RNAcentral lists this ribosomal RNA (609 nucleotides) under uncultured bacterium. RNAcentral's name for it is "bacterial SSU rRNA". The stretch from base 1 to 519 matches the Rfam family "Bacterial small subunit ribosomal RNA", at positions 338 to 873 of the family's 1533-position model. The record is from RNAcentral.
CCUACGGGAGGCAGCAGUGGGGAAUCUUGCGCAAUGGGCGAAAGCCUGACGCAGCAACGCCGCGUGCGGGAAGAAGGCCUUCGGGUUGUAAACCGCUUUCAGCAGGAACGAAAAUGACGGUACCUGCAGAAGAAGGUGCGGCCAACUAUGUGCCAGCAGCCGCGGUGAUACAUAGGCACCAAGCGUUGUCCGGAUUUAUUGGGCGUAAAGAGCUCGUAGGCGGUUCAGUCAGUCGGGUGUGAAAACUCUGGGCUUAACCCAGAGCCUGCACCCGAUACUGCUGUGACUAGAGUUCGGUAGGGGAGCGGGGAAUUCCUGGUGUAGCGGUGAAAUGCGCAGAUAUCAGGAGGAACACCGAUGGCGAAGGCACCGCUCUGGGCCGAAACUGACGCUGAGGAGCGAAAGCAUGGGUAGCAAACAGGAUUAGAUACCCUGGUAGUCCAUGCCGUAAACGUUGGGCACUAGGUGUGGGUUCCAAUCAACGGAAUCCGCGCCGUCGCUAAACGCAUAGUGCCCGCCGUCGGGAGGUACGGUCGCGACGAACUAAACUACAAUAGAAGUUAGUACGAGCGUGAGACGUCGCCGACGGACGACCGACGAGGGAGGAGG